GGAUGAACGCUGGCGGCGUGCCUAAUACAUGCAAGUCGAGCGAACAGAUGAGGAGCUUGCUCCUCUGACGUUAGCGGCGGACGGGUGAGUAACACGUGGAUAACCUACCUAUAAGACUGGGAUAACUUCGGGAAACCGGAGCUAAUACCGGAUAAUAUAUUGAACCGCAUGGUUCAAUAGUGAAAGACGGUUUUGCUGUCACUUAUAGAUGGAUCCGCGCCGCAUUAGCUAGUUGGUAAGGUAACGGCUUACCAAGGCAACGAUGCGUAGCCGACCUGAGAGGGUGAUCGGCCACACUGGAACUGAGACACGGUCCAGACUCCUACGGGAGGCAGCAGUAGGGAAUCUUCCGCAAUGGGCGAAAGCCUGACGGUGCAACGCCGCGUGAGUGAUGAAGGUCUUCAGAUCGUAAAACUCUGUUAUUGGGGAAGAACAAAUGUGUAAGUAACUAUGCACGUCUUGACGGUACCUAAUCAGAAAGCCACGGCUAACUACGUG
RNAcentral lists this ribosomal RNA (498 nucleotides) under uncultured bacterium. RNAcentral describes it as "partial 16S ribosomal RNA". It matches the Rfam family "Bacterial small subunit ribosomal RNA", at positions 27 to 507 of the family's 1533-position model. The record is from RNAcentral.